GACGAAGGGGGCUAGCGUUGUUCGGAAUUACUGGGCGUAAAGCGCGUGUAGGCGGUUGUCCAAGUUGGAUGUGAAAGCCUUGAGCUUAACUCAAGAAAUGCAUUCAGGACUGGAUGACUAGAGGACCGGAGAGGAUAGUGGAAUUCCCAGUGUAGUGGUGAAAUACGUAGAGAUUGGGAAGAACACCGGUGGUGUAGACGGCUUUCUGGACCGUAACUGACGCUGAGACACGAAAGCGUGGGUAGCAAACAGG
Molecule: ribosomal RNA, 253 nt
Filed under: uncultured bacterium
Lineage: Bacteria
Description: partial 16S ribosomal RNA
Rfam family: Bacterial small subunit ribosomal RNA
Source: RNAcentral